RNAcentral lists this ribosomal RNA (1384 nucleotides) under uncultured bacterium. Its description in RNAcentral is "16S ribosomal RNA". It matches the Rfam family "Bacterial small subunit ribosomal RNA". The record is from RNAcentral.
UUCGCCCUUAGAGUUUGAUCCUGGCUCAGGACGAACGCUGGCGGCGCGCCUAACACAUGCAAGUCGAACGGAGCUUAGAGAGCUUGCUUUUUAAGCUUAGUGGCGAACGGGUGAGUAACGCGUGAGUAACCUGCCCUAGAGUGGGGGACAACAGUUGGAAACGACUGCUAAUACCGCAUAAGCCCACGGUGCCGCAUGACACUGAGGGAAAAGGAUUUAUUCGCUUUAGGAUGGACUCGCGUCCAAUUAGCUAGUUGGUGAGGUAACGGCCCACCAAGGCGACGAUUGGUAGCCGGACUGAGAGGUUGAACGGCCACAUUGGGACUGAGACACGGCCCAGACUCCUACGGGAGGCAGCAGUGGGGGAUAUUGCACAAUGGGGGAAACCCUGAUGCAGCGACGCCGCGUGGAGGAAGAAGGUUUUCGGAUUGUAAACUCCUGUCGUUAGGGACGAUAAUGACGGUACCUAACAAGAAAGCACCGGCUAACUACGUGCCAGCAGCCGCGGUAAAACGUAGGGUGCAAGCGUUGUCCGGAAUUACUGGGUGUAAAGGGAGCGCAGGCGGGAAGACAAGUUGGAAGUGAAAACCAUGGGCUCAACCCAUGAAUUGCUUUCAAAACUGUUUUUCUUGAGUAGUGCAGAGGUAGAUGGAAUUCCCGGUGUAGCGGUGGAAUGCGUAGAUAUCGGGAGGAACACCAGUGGCGAAGGCGGUCUACUGGGCACCAACUGACGCUGAGGCUCGAAAGCAUGGGUAGCAAACAGGAUUAGAUACCCUGGUAGUCCAUGCCGUAAACGAUGAUUACAAGGUGUUGGGGGGAUUGACCCCCCUCAGUGCUGUAGUUAACACAAUAAGUUAUCCUCUUGGGGAGUACGACGGCAAGGUUGAAAUUCAAAGGAAUUGACGGGGGCCCGCACAAGCAGUGGAGUAUGUGGUUUAAUUUCGAAGCAACGCGAAGAACCUUACCAGGUCUUGACAUCCGAUGCAUAGCACAGAGAUGUGUGAAAUCCUUCGGGACAUCGAGACAGGUGGUGCAUGGUUGUCGUCAGCUCGUGUCGUGAGAUGUUGGGUUAAGUCCCGCAACGAGCGCAACCCUUAUUGCCAGUUACUACGUUAAGAGGACUCUGGCGAGACUGCCGUUGACAAAACGGAGGAAGGUGGGGAUGACGUCAAAUCAUCAUGCCCUUUAUGACCUGGGCUACACACGUAGUACAAUGGCGUUAAACAAAGAGAAGCAAGACCGCGAGGUGGAGCAAAACUCAAAAACAACGUCUCAGUUCAGAUUGCAGGCCGCAACUCGCCUGCAUGAAGUCGGAAUUGCUAGUAAUCGCGGAUCAGCAUGCCGCGGUGAAUACGUUCCCGGCCCUUGCACACACCGCCCGUCA